ACAAAGCCAAAGGACUAAAAACACAAGACAAAGGGGAUCCACAAGGAGUGACAGGAAUUCUGAACUUCCAGCAUCAUUAUAAGUCAGAAAGGCACUCAAAGAAGGCAUCCUGGAGGUGGUGGUAUUUGGAUGCCCGAACGUCUGAACACAGGAAUUCUGAUGGGGACUUCCAAGAUCUUGUAGAUGAUUCCUCAACCAAUCAGAAAGUGUCCCAAACAUUCUGCAAAACCGCUGCUUCCUGAAGACAGAGCCCUAGAGGCUAAACCAGUCGCAAUAGAACAGGGUGAAGGAAAGCAGCAAGUCUUUUAUUUUGGAAUACAAUGGAAAUUAGAAGUAGCUGGGGUAACGUGUUUGAAAAAGAAGGAAAAAGAAAAAUUAUAUAUGAAGUUUGAGAGUUGGGUGGGGGUAGAGUGUUUUGAGGUGAGCGCAUGUGCUCUUAAGUUCCCCACCCUUGGAUGUUUGUUCUGGGUGACUUUGCCAGCUUCAAGGGGUUUUAAAAAUGUGAAAAAGUUUGAUUCUGCUUUGGGUAGAAAAAUUGAAAGUGAAAAUUUUAUAGUUUGAUUUAACAACCAAUGGAAUUAUAAAAGGCUAUCCACCUCUCAGGAUAAACCUGUAGGAGGGCUUUAUUAAAUCUGGCCUUGCAUAAAUUUUGGCUACGGUAAAGAUAUUGGUUAUUGUGCUUGGAGAUUGUUACAUAAAAUCUUAAAAUGUUUUCCCAGGCCGUUCAAUUAAUUACUGGAACUCUAGAGGCUUUCUGCCUAAGGGGGGGAAAUUGACUACUCCUGGUUAAUUCAAUGCUCCCUUAAGGAAGUAGGAAAGAAAAGGGGAGAGAAUUAUUUAAAGCAGGAAUUAUCACCAUGUGUCUUUUAAAGGGAAUAUAUAAAUUUAUGGAGAAUAUUUCCUUUUAAA
Vombatus ursinus (common wombat) is the source of this 909-nucleotide long non-coding RNA. RefSeq lists it as uncharacterized. The record is from RefSeq and is a predicted model, not a curated record. The transcript has 3 exons. NCBI's taxonomy places the organism in Eukaryota, Metazoa, Chordata, Mammalia, Diprotodontia, Vombatidae.